Molecule: ribosomal RNA, 570 nt
Filed under: uncultured Alphaproteobacteria bacterium
Lineage: Bacteria; Pseudomonadati; Pseudomonadota; Alphaproteobacteria
Description: bacterial SSU rRNA
Rfam family: Bacterial small subunit ribosomal RNA
Source: RNAcentral
AACGAACGCUGGCGGCAGGCCUAACACAUGCAAGUCGAGCGCGCCUUCGGGUGAGCGGCGGACGGGUUAGUAACGCGUGGGAACGUACCCUUCUCUACGGAAUAGCCUUUGGAAACGAAGAGUAAUACCGUAUACGCCCUUUGGGGGAAAGAUUUAUCGGAGAAGGAUCGGCCCGCGUUAGAUUAGAUAGUUGGUGGGGUAACGGCCUACCAAGUCUACGAUCUAUAGCUGGUUUUAGAGGAUGAUCAGCAACACUGGGACUGAGACACGGCCCAGACUCCUACGGGAGGCAGCAGUGGGGAAUCUUAGACAAUGGGCGCAAGCCUGAUCUAGCCAUGCCGCGUGAGUGAUGAAGGCCUUAGGGUCGUAAAGCUCUUUCGCCUGUGAUGAUAAUGACAGUAGCAGGUAAAGAAACCCCGGCUAACUCCGUGCCAGCAGCCGCGGUAAUACGGAGGGGGUUAGCGUUGUUCGGAAUUACUGGGCGUAAAGCGCACGUAGGCGGAUUGGAAAGUUGGGGGUGAAAUCCCGGGGCUCAACCCCGGAACUGCCUCCAAAACUAUCAGUCUAGAG